RNAcentral lists this long non-coding RNA (285 nucleotides) under Lathyrus oleraceus (garden pea). RNAcentral's name for it is "Pisum sativum (pea) long non-coding RNA (PSAT_LNC027562)". The record is from RNAcentral. Lineage: Eukaryota; Viridiplantae; Streptophyta; Magnoliopsida; Fabales; Fabaceae.
UUUUCAAAAAAUGUUGAGAAAAUUUGUCAAACCUUGCUUGACCAUGUUAGACUUAUGAUGAUUCAAUUGGACUUAUCCAAGUUGAUUUGAAUUGAAUUUGAAGUUUGACCAUGCAUUGUUCAUUUUAUUUUAUGUAUUAUUUUAAUUCCAAAAAAUACCAAAAAAUAUGUUUGACAUUUCUUGACUUCUAAUCUUCAUUUCACUUCUGUUUACCAUUGGUUGAUGUUGAUUCCAUUCACAUUUGACCAUUGUAUUUUGAUUAUGUCAUUUGAAUUCCCAUUUUCU